Molecule: ribosomal RNA, 798 nt
Filed under: Triticum aestivum (bread wheat)
Lineage: Eukaryota; Viridiplantae; Streptophyta; Magnoliopsida; Poales; Poaceae
Description: partial small subunit ribosomal RNA
Source: RNAcentral
AUGUCGAGAACGACGAGGGUUCAUUUAUCGAGAAUCACCGCAACGGGCUUCUCUUGCUUUGGAACCACCUCGUGUAAAGGGAUGGAGGACUUUGGCAACGACGUGUGCCUUGUUUAUGACCCCACCGUGUCGCCGCACUACGAUGUGCUUUUUCUUCCUUGUGUCCCCUACGGUCUUCUUGAUUGCGCAACAACAAUAUUCACGGAGGAAUCGGAGUGGCCGCCCUUGGCCUACCCAAUACAAGUCUUCUCUUCAAGGACAUGGAGAUGGGAGGAGAGGUCGUUGGCCCGGAGAGGAGAGGCUGCAGGGACCAUCGCUGACAUGGAUCCAUAUAGGGAUUAUGAACACCGUUAUGCCGUCUACUGGAAAGGAGCGAUCUAUGUGCAUUGUCAAAAUGACUCCAUUUUACGCAUAACCUUAACGGAUGGUUCGCAUGAAGUGAUUAAAUCGCCAACAGGAAGUAAAAUGGAAGAUUCCACCAAUCUUUAUCUAGGGAAAUCAAAGAAGGGGGUGUACUGCACUUUGAUUUAUAAUGAUACCUGGGGGGGACUUAAGAUUUGGUUGCUUACUGAAUCAUGUGGUAAGUGGGAGUGGGUGCUAAAGAAUGACAUCAACUUCGCGGCAGCGGUGGCAAAAUUUUCUUGGUUUUAUGGAAAAAAAAACAAGGACCGUGGAUCUUACAGAAAGGUGAUUGUGAUGAAAAUGUUAAGGAAGCACCAGUGCAAGAUAACUAUGAAUGGGACUUCGACAAUGGUAUUAUCCUUGCGGCUGAAGAUAAGGUUGGAUCUGACGAUAUGA